RNAcentral lists this ribosomal RNA (193 nucleotides) under uncultured Marichromatium sp. Its description in RNAcentral is "partial 16S ribosomal RNA". It matches the Rfam family "Bacterial small subunit ribosomal RNA", at positions 337 to 522 of the family's 1533-position model. The record is from RNAcentral. Lineage: Bacteria; Pseudomonadati; Pseudomonadota; Gammaproteobacteria; Chromatiales; Chromatiaceae.
UCCUACGGGAGGCAGCAGUGGGGAAUUUUGGACAAUGGGGGCAACCCUGAUCCAGCGAUGCCGCGUGUGUGAAGAAGGCCUUCGGGUUGUAAAGCACUUUUAGUGGGAAAGAAAAGCUCAUGGAUAAUACCUGUGAGUAUUGACGUUACCCAAAGAAAAAGCACCGGCUAACUCUGUGCCAGCAGCCGCGGUA